Molecule: ribosomal RNA, 313 nt
Filed under: Pharaxonotha sp. D0176
Lineage: Eukaryota; Metazoa; Arthropoda; Insecta; Coleoptera; Erotylidae
Description: partial 16S large subunit ribosomal RNA
Rfam family: Bacterial large subunit ribosomal RNA (bases 178-313)
Source: RNAcentral
GACCCUAUAGAGUUUAAUAUUUAAUUAAUAAAUUAUUUUUUAGAAUUUAAUGAUAAUUUAUUAAUUAAUUAUUUGAUUGGGGUGAUUGAAAAAUUAAAAUAACUUUUUUUAUAUAAAAACAUUAAUUUAUGAUUGUUUGAUCCAUUAAUUAUGAUUAUAAGAUUAAAUUACCUUAGGGAUAACAGCGUAAUUUUUUUUAAGAGUUCAAAUCGAAAAAAAAGAUUGCGACCUCGAUGUUGGAUUAAAAUUUAUUUUUGGUGUAGAAGCUAAAUUUAUUGGGUCUGUUCGACCUUUAAAAUUUUACAUGAUCUGA